UGGGGAAUAUUGCACAAUGGGCGCAAGCCUGAUGCAGCCAUGCCGCGUGUAUGAAGAAGGCCUUCGGGUUGUAAAGUACUUUCAGUCGGGAGGAAGGUGGUAAGGUUAAUAACCUUGGCAAUUGACGUUACCGACAGAAGAAGCACCGGCUAACUCCGUGCCAGCAGCCGCGGUAAUACGGAGGGUGCAAGCGUUAAUCGGAAUUACUGGGCGUAAAGUGCACGCAGGCGGUUGAUUGAGUCAGAUGUGAAAUCCCCGGGCUUAACCCGGGAAUUGCAUCUGAUACUGGUCAGCUAGAGUCUUGUAGAGGGGGGUAGAAUUCCAUGUGUAGCGGUGAAAUGCGUAGAGAUGUGGAGGAAUACCGGUGGCGAAGGCGGCCCCCUGGACAAAGACUGACGCUCAGGUGCGAAAGCGUGGGGAGCAAACAGG
RNAcentral lists this ribosomal RNA (429 nucleotides) under Chloroflexota bacterium. Its description in RNAcentral is "Chloroflexi bacterium partial 16S ribosomal RNA". It matches the Rfam family "Bacterial small subunit ribosomal RNA", at positions 355 to 776 of the family's 1533-position model. Lineage: Bacteria; Bacillati; Chloroflexota. The record is from RNAcentral.